UAAUACAUGCAAGUCGAGCGGACAGAUGGGAGCUUGCUCCCUGAUGUUAGCGGCGGACGGGUGAGUAACACGUGGGUAACCUGCCUGUAAGACUGGGAUAACUCCGGGAAACCGGGGCUAAUACCGGAUGCUUGUUUGAACCGCAUGGUUCAAACAUAAAAGGUGGCUUCGGCUACCACUUACAGAUGGACCCGCGGCGCAUUAGCUAGUUGGUGAGGUAACGGCUCACCAAGGCAACGAUGCGUAGCCGACCUGAGAGGGUGAUCGGCCACACUGGGACUGAGACACGGCCCAGACUCCUACGGGAGGCAGCAGUAGGGAAUCUUCCGCAAUGGACGAAAGUCUGACGGAGCAACGCCGCGUGAGUGAUGAAGGUUUUCGGAUCGUAAAGCUCUGUUGUUAGGGAAGAACAAGUACCGUUCGAAUAGGGCGGUACCUUGACGGUACCUAACCAGAAAGCCACGGCUAACUACGUGCCAGCAGCCGCGGUAAUACGUAGGUGGCAAGCGUUGUCCGGAAUUAUUGGGCGUAAAGGGCUCGCAGGCGGUUUCUUAAGUCUGAUGUGAAAGCCCCCGGCUCAACCGGGGAGGGUCAUUGGAAACUGGGGAACUUGAGUGCAGAAGAGGAGAGUGGAAUUCCACGUGUAGCGGUGAAAUGCGUAGAGAUGUGGAGGAACACCAGUGGCGAAGGCGACUCUCUGGUCUGUAACUGACGCUGAGGAGCGAAAGCGUGGGGAGCGAACAGGAUUAGAUACCCUGGUAGUCCACGCCGUAAACGAUGAGUGCUAAGUGUUAGGGGGUUUCCGCCCCUUAGUGCUGCAGCUAACGCAUUAAGCACUCCGCCUGGGGAGUACGGUCGCAAGACUGAAACUCAAAGGAAUUGACGGGGGCCCGCACAAGCGGUGGAGCAUGUGGUUUAAUUCGAAGCAACGCGAAGAACCUUACCAGGUCUUGACAUCCUCUGACAAUCCUAGAGAUAGGACGUCCCCUUCGGGGGCAGAGUGACAGGUGGUGCAUGGUUGUCGUCAGCUCGUGUCGUGAGAUGUUGGGUUAAGUCCCGCAACGAGCGCAACCCUUGAUCUUAGUUGCCAGCAUUCAGUUGGGCACUCUAAGGUGACUGCCGGUGACAAACCGGAGGAAGGUGGGGAUGACGUCAAAUCAUCAUGCCCCUUAUGACCUGGGCUACACACGUGCUACAAUGGACAGAACAAAGGGCAGCGAAACCGCGAGGUUAAGCCAAUCCCACAAAUCUGUUCUCAGUUCGGAUCGCAGUCUGCAACUCGACUGCGUGAAGCUGGAAUCGCUAGUAAUCGCGGAUCAGCAUGCCGCGGUGAAUACGUUCCAGGGCCUUGUACACACCGCCCGUCACACCACGAGAGUUUGUAACACCCGAAGUCGGUGAGGUAACCUUUUAGGAGCCAGCCGCCG
RNAcentral lists this ribosomal RNA (1427 nucleotides) under Bacillus sp. (in: firmicutes). Its description in RNAcentral is "bacterial SSU rRNA". It matches the Rfam family "Bacterial small subunit ribosomal RNA". Lineage: Bacteria; Bacillati; Bacillota; Bacilli; Caryophanales; Bacillaceae. The record is from RNAcentral.